GAUGAACGCUGGCGGCGUGCCUAAUACAUGCAAGUCGAGCGAACGGACGAGAAGCUUGCUUCUCUGAUGUUAGCGGCGGACGGGUGAGUAACACGUGGAUAACCUACCUAUAAGACUGGGAUAACUUCGGGAAACCGGAGCUAAUACCGGAUGAUAUUUUGAACCGCAUGGUUCAAAAGUGAAAGACGGUCUUGCGGUCACUUCUAGAUGGAUCCGCGCUGCAUUAGCUAGUUGGUAAGGUAACGGCUUACCAAGGCAACGAUGCAUAGCCGACCUGAGAGGGUGAUCGGCCACACUGGAGCGGGGCCGCGGUCAAGACUCCUACGGGAGGCAGCAGUAGGGAAUCGUCCGCAAUGGGCGAAAGCCUGACGGAGCAACGCGGCGUGAGUGAUGAAGGCCUUCGGAUCGUAAAACUCUGUUAUUAGGGAAGAACAUAUGUGUAAGUAACUGUGCACAUCUUGACGGUACCUAAUCAGAAAGCCACGGCUAACUACGUG
This 497-nucleotide ribosomal RNA is filed under the name uncultured bacterium. RNAcentral describes it as "partial 16S ribosomal RNA". It matches the Rfam family "Bacterial small subunit ribosomal RNA", at positions 28 to 507 of the family's 1533-position model. The record is from RNAcentral.